This 882-nucleotide long non-coding RNA is filed under the name Scleropages formosus (Asian bonytongue). RNAcentral describes it as "lncRNA (ENSSFOG00015032393.1)". The record is from RNAcentral. Lineage: Eukaryota; Metazoa; Chordata; Actinopteri; Osteoglossiformes; Osteoglossidae.
GUUUAGGUAACUGAUUGUGUGGUGCCUGAAUGACUCUAGACUGUAGCAUUUUGGUAACAAUUUAGACUUUGCCUUGCUGGCACAAUGUUUGUAAAGUGAUGAUGGAAAUAAAAAGGAAUAAAUACAGACUUCCCCACUUGUGCUCAUUAAGCAGCGGUAUUGCUACUCUGACAGUGCAGCAACAAACAAGGUUCAGCGUUGGGAAGUUUACAGUAACCAUGAGAGUCAUCGCGACCCAGGGAUCUCGCUUUCAUUUGAAUAAAAUGGCAGGGGGGAGGCAGCCCGGUCACACAUGAACGCACGCCGCCUUCAUACACUGGUAAACAGACGCACAGUGAUGGGUGUCACUCCUUCUGUCCCUCCUGGGUUUCUUUUUGUCUGUGACUGGGUGGAGGCUCCACAAUGGGAGGAGAGACGCCGGUACAUAUACUGUCUUCCUGUUUGCUCCGUCUGUCUCACUCUUGCGUUUCACUGACUGCAACGGCUGACGGCCUUUUCCAUCGCAGUGUGUGAAGCCUCGCGAUGGCAAACGAUCACACGUGGCUCGCAGCGUCACUGCUAGGCCUGGUCUGUCUGUGUCAGUGUCAGGCCGCGCCAGCGACUGAGACUCCGCUACCGGACGGCUUGAACGUGAGAGAGGUGUUUGAUCGCCACAGCGCUGGCGGCUACUCGCUUACUGAGGAGCAGUUGUGGGAUGCAUUGAGAAUGGACUAUGAGGACUACGUCAGGUACCCGAACAUCGCGCUGGUGCGGGAGCUGAUGCUCAGUUAUGACAGCGAUGGCAACGGCGAGCUGGAGUUCCCCGAAUUCCAAAAUCUCUCCGACUUCCUCACCAAGAAAAGGACCUGAGCUGCUCAGCCGCAGCCCACCCUGACCUUCACA